RNAcentral lists this ribosomal RNA (253 nucleotides) under uncultured bacterium. RNAcentral's name for it is "partial 16S ribosomal RNA". It matches the Rfam family "Bacterial small subunit ribosomal RNA", at positions 524 to 776 of the family's 1533-position model. The record is from RNAcentral.
GACGAACCGUGCGAACGUUGUUCGGAAUCACUGGGCUUAAAGCGCGCGUAGGCGGCUUUGUAAGUUAGAGGUGAAAGCCCGGAGCUCAACUCCGGAACUGCCUUUAAGACUGCAUCGCUAGAAUUGUGGAGAGGUGAGUGGAAUUCCGAGUGUAGAGGUGAAAUUCGUAGAUAUUCGGAAGAACACCAGUGGCGAAGGCGACUCACUGGACACAUAUUGACGCUGAGGUGCGAAAGCGUGGGGAGCAAACAGG